Molecule: long non-coding RNA, 872 nt
Organism: Coregonus clupeaformis (lake whitefish)
Lineage: Eukaryota; Metazoa; Chordata; Actinopteri; Salmoniformes; Salmonidae
Exons: 4
Source: RefSeq, a predicted model, not a curated record
CUGAAUCUUGUCACACCAGAGCUCAGUCUGUUCUGUCAUCUGAAACAACAUAAUGCUGUUCCUAUUAUUUUGUGGUGGAUGUUUUGCAUUGUCUGCAGGGCAAACCUUUGCUCCAACACCUUCAAUGGGACAAAUGAACAGCACAACACAGGUGACAACAACUCCUGCUCCUACUACCCCAUACGUGGACCCACCUUUUGAUACUGAAGCACCGACAAGUGGUGUUGCAAUUCUUCGAACAGCUGUCACUUCUUAUCAGGAGCUAAAUGAGACUAUAGUUGAUUCUGUCUUGAGUCAGCUCUAUGACAUCAUUUUUGCGCAGCAACCUGAUCUGGACUUUCAUCUGACUGUGAAAACUUUCCAGAAGGUUUGAUGGAUUGUGAUUCAAUGCAUAACAGGUUUACGUUUUUAUGGUACAUCAUGUGAUGCACCUGCAGUAUGCAGAUGUGAUCUAUUAUACUACUGACUGUACUUUCAAUGAUUUUAUUCUGUUUCAUAACAGUCAUUUUUAUUAAAGUGAUGCUACAGAGGUUUGUAUAAUUUCAGCCAGUAGUUUUUGAAAGUAGCGUUCACGAGCCAAAACAGGUCCCCGAAAAUUGUGCACAGUUGUGUACAACUUAAUCAAUUUCGUAUGAUAUGUUACGUCCUGCAAAAAUUAUAAAAUCUAAAAAUCUAAUUCGUCCAAUAUUUGUAAGCGCUUAAGAUCCCGUUCAAUCUCUUUAAUGUAAGUAAUAUAUUUUAUUACAUAUAUAUAUGAUAUAAUUGACUUAUAUUGACUUGCUGAACAUUGCACUUAUGAUCUGGAGGAGGACUUGUAAAUCAAGAGUUACAUCACAACUCUACCCACUUUCCUUCCAGUGGAGUGUUUUGAG